ACACUACACAGCUCAGUUUAUAUUGUCUGUAGGGGCUGGAUGAUACCAGGUCAGUUUAUAUUGACUGUAGGGGCUGGAUGAUACCAGGUCAGUACACAGCUCAGUUUAUAUUGACUUUAGGAGCUGGAUGAUACCAGGUCAGUUUAUAUUGACUGUAGGGGCUGGAUGAUACCAGGUCAGUUUAUAUUGACUGUAGGGGCUGGAUGAUACCAGGUCAGUUUAUAUUGACUGUAGGGGCUGGAUGAUACCAGGUCAGUUUAUAUUGACUGUAGGGGCUGGAUGAUACCAGGUCAGUUUAUAUUGACUGUAGGGGCUGGAUGAUACCAGGUCAGUUUAUAUUGACUGUAGGGGCUGGAUGAUACCAGGUCAGUACACAGCUCAGUUUAUAUUGUCUGUAGGGGCUGGAUGAUACCAGGUCACUACACAGCUCAGUUUAUAUUGACUGUAGGAGCUGGAUGAUACCAGGUCAGUUUAUAUUGACUGUAGGGGCUGGAUGAUACCAGGUCAGUUUAUAUUGACUGUAGGGGCUGGAUGAUACCAGGUCAGUUUAUAUUGACUGUAGGGGCUGGAUGAUACCAGGUCAGUACACAGCUCAGUUUAUAUUGUCUGUAGGGGCUGGAUGAUACCAGGUCACUACACAGCUCAGUUUAUAUUGACUGUAGGAGCUGGAUGAUACCAGGUCAGUUUAUAUUGACUGUAGGAGCUGGAUGAUACCAGGUCAGUUUAUAUUUACUGUAGGGGCUGGAUGAUACCAGGUCACUACACAGCUCAGUUUAUAUUGUCUGUAGGGGCUGGAUGAUACCAGGUCAGUUUAUAUUGACUGUAGGAGCUGGAUGAUACCAGGUCAGUUUAUAUUGACUGUAGGGCUGGAUGAUACCAGGUCAGUUUAUAUUGACUGUAGGAGCUGGAUGAUACCAGGUCAGUUUAUAUUGACUGUAGGGGCUGGAUGAUACCAGGUCACUACACAGCUCAGUUUAUAUUGACUGUAGGAGCUGGAUGAUACCAGGUCAGUUUAUAUUGACUGUAAGGGCUGGAUGAUACCAGGUCAGUACACAGCUCAGUUUAUAUUUACUGUAGGAGCUGGAUGAUACCAGCUCAGUUUAUACAGACUGUAGGAGCUGGAUGAUACCAGGUCAGUUUAUAUUGACUGUAGGGGCUGGAUGAUACCAGGUCACUACACAGCUCAGUUUAUAUUGUCUGUAGGGGCUGGAUGAUACCAGGUCAGUUUAUAUUGACUGUAGGAGCUGGAUGAUACCAGGUCAGUUUAUAUUGACUGUAGGGGCUGGAUGAUACCAGCUCAGUUUAUAUUGACUGUAGGGGCUGGAUGAUACCAGGUCAGUUUAUAUUGACCGUAGGAGCUGGAUGAUACCAGGUCACUACACAGCUCAGUUUAUAUUGACUGUAGGAGCUGGAUGAUACCAGCUCAGUUUAUAUUGACUUUAGGAGCUGGAUGAUACCAGCUCAGUUUAUAUUGACUGUAGGGGCUGGAUGAUACCAGGUCAGUUUAUAUUGACUGUAGGGGCUGGAUGAUACCAGGUCAGUUUAUAUUGACUGUAGGGGCUGGAUGAUACCAGGUCAGUUUAUAUUGACUGUAGGGGCUGGAUGAUACCAGGUCAGUUUAUAUUGACUGUAGGGGCUGGAUGAUACCAGGUCAGUUUAUAUUGACUGUAGGGGCUGGAUGAUACCAGGUCAGUUUAUAUUGUCUGUAGGGGCUGGAUGAUACCAGGUCACUACACAGCUCAGUUUAUAUUGACUGUAGGAGCUGGAUGAUACCAGGUCAGUUUAUAUUGACUGUAGGGCUGGAUGAUACCAGGUCAGUUUAUAUUGACUGUAGGAGCUGGAUGAUACCAGGUCAGUUUAUAUUGACUGUAGGAGCUGGAUGAUACCAGGUCAGUUUAUAUUGACUGUAGGAGCUGGAUGAUACCAGGUCAGUUUAUAUUGACUGUAGGAGCUGGAUGAUACCAGGUCAGUACACAGCUCAGUUUAUAUUGACUGUAGGAGCUGGAUGAUACCAGGUCAGUUUAUAUUGACUGUAGGGGCUGGAUGAUACCAGGUCACUACACAGCUCAGUUUAUAUUGACUGUAGGAGCUGGAUGAUACCAGGUCAGUUUAUAUUGACUGUAAGGGCUGGAUGAUACCAGGUCAGUACACAGCUCAGUUUAUAUUUACUGUAGGAGCUGGAUGAUACCAGCUCAGUUUAUACAGACUGUAGGAGCUGGAUGAUACCAGGUCAGUUUAUAUUGACUGUAGGGGCUGGAUGAUACCAGGUCACUACACAGCUCAGUUUAUAUUGUCUGUAGGGGCUGGAUGAUACCAGGUCAGUUUAUAUUGACUGUAGGAGCUGGAUGAUACCAGGUCAGUUUAUAUUGACUGUAGGAGCUGGAUGAUACCAGCUCAGUUUAUAUUGACUGUAGGGGCUGGAUGAUACCAGGUCAGUUUAUAUUGACUGUAGGGGCUGGAUGAUACCAGGUCAGUUUAUAUUGACUGUAGGGGCUGGAUGAUACCAGGUCAGUACACAGCUCAGUUUAUAAUUACUGUAGGGGCUGGAUGAUACCAGGUCAGUACACAGCUCAGUUUAUAUUGACUGUAGGGGCUGGAUGAUACCAGGUCAGUUUAUAUUGACUGUAGGGGCUGGAUGAUACCAGGUCAGUUUAUAUUGUCUGUAGGGGCUGGAUGAUACCAGCUCAGUUUAUAUUGACUGUAGGGGCUGAAUGAUACCAGCUCAGUUUAUAUUGUCUGUAGGAGCUGGACGAUACCAGCUCAGUUUAUAUUGUCUGUUGGGGCUGGAUGAUACCAGGUCAGUUUAUAUUGUCUGUAGGGGCUGGAUGAUACCAGGUCACUACACAGCUCAGUUUAUAUUGACUGUAGGAGCUGGAUGAUACCAGGUCAGUUUAUAUUGACUGUAGGGGCUGGAUGAUACCAGGUCAGUUUAUAUUGACUGUAGGGGCUGGAUGAUACCAGGUCAGUUUAUAUUGACUGUAGGGGCUGGAUGAUACCAGGUCAGUACACAGCUCAGUUUAUAUUGUCUGUAGGGGCUGGAUGAUACCAGGUCACUACACAGCUCAGUUUAUAUUGACUGUAGGAGCUGGAUGAUACCAGGUCAGUUUAUAUUGACUGUAGGGGCUGGAUGAUACCAGGUCACUACACAGCUCAGUUUAUAUUGACUGUAGGAGCUGGAUGAUACCAGGUCAGUUUAUAUUGACUGUAGGGCUGGAUGAUACCAGGUCAGUUUAUAUUGACUGUAGGAGCUGGAUGAUACCAGGUCAGUUUAUAUUGACUGUAGGAGCUGGAUGAUACCAGGUCAGUUUAUAUUGACUGUAGGAGCUGGAUGAUACCAGGUCAGUUUAUAUUGACUGUAGGAGCUGGAUGAUACCAGGUCAGUACACAGCUCAGUUUAUAUUGACUGUAGGAGCUGGAUGAUACCAGGUCAGUUUAUAUUGACUGUAGGGGCUGGAUGAUACCAGGUCACUACACAGCUCAGUUUAUAUUGACUGUAGGAGCUGGAUGAUACCAGGUCAGUUUAUAUUGACUGUAAGGGCUGGAUGAUACCAGGUCAGUACACAGCUCAGUUUAUAUUUACUGUAGGAGCUGGAUGAUACCAGCUCAGUUUAUACAGACUGUAGGAGCUGGAUGAUACCAGGUCAGUUUAUAUUGACUGUAGGGGCUGGAUGAUACCAGGUCACUACACAGCUCAGUUUAUAUUGUCUGUAGGGGCUGGAUGAUACCAGGUCAGUUUAUAUUGACUGUAGGAGCUGGAUGAUACCAGGUCAGUUUAUAUUGACUGUAGGAGCUGGAUGAUACCAGCUCAGUUUAUAUUGACUGUAGGGUCUGGAUGAUACCAGGUCAGUUUAUAUUGACCGUAGGAGCUGGAUGAUACCAGGUCACUACACAGCUCAGUUUAUAUUGACUGUAGGAGCUGGAUGAUACCAGCUCAGUUUAUAUUGACUGUAGGAGCUGGAUGAUACCAGGUCAGUUUAUAUUGACUGUAGGAGCUGGAUGAUACCAGGUCACUACACAGCUCAGUUUAUAUUGACUGUAGGAGCUGGAUGAUACCAGCUCAGUUUAUAUUGACUGUAGGGGCUGGAUGAUACCAGCUCAGUUUAUAUUGACUGUAGGGGCUGGAUGAUACCAGGUCAGUUUAUAUUUACUGUAGGAGCUGGAUGAUACCAGGUCAGUACACAGCUCAGUUUAUAUUGACUGUAGGGGCUGGAUGAUACCAGGUCAGUUUAUAUUGACUUUAGGAGCUGGAUGAUACCAGGUCACUACACAGCUCAGUUUAUAUUGUCUGUAGGAGCUGGAUGAUACCAGGUCAGUUUAUAUUGACUGUAGGAGCUGGAUGAUACCAGCUCAGUUUAUAUUUACUGUAGGGGCUGGAUGAUACCAGCUCAGUUUAUAUUGUCUGUAGGAGCUGGAUGAUACCAGGUCAGUUUAUAUUUACUGUAGGAGCUGGAUGAUACCAGGUCAGUUUAUAUUUACUGUAGGAGCUGGAUGAUACCAGGUCAGUUUAUAUUUACUGUAGGGGCUGGAUGAUACCAGGUCACUACACAGCUCAGUUUAUAUUGACUGUAGGGGCUGGAUGAUACCAGCUCAGUUUAUAUUGACUGUAGGGGCUGGAUGAUACCAGGUCACUACACAGCUCAGUUUAUAUUGACUGUAGGGGCUGGAUGAUACCAGCUCAGUUUAUAUUGACUGUAGGGGCUGGAUGAUACCAGGUCACUACACAGCUCAGUUUAUAUUGGCUGUAGGAGCUGGAUGAUACCAGGUCAGUUUAUAUUGACUGUAGGGGCUGGAUGAUACCAGGUCAGUACACAGCUCAGUUUAUAGUGACUGUAGGGGCUGGAUGAUACCAGGUCACUACACAGCUCAGUUUAUAUUGGCUGUAGGAGCUGGAUGAUACCAGGUCAGUUUAUAUUGGCUGUAGGAGCUGGAUGAUACCAGGUCAGUUUAUAUUGACUGUAGGGGCUGGAUGAUACCAGUAUUGCGAUACUUGUUACUAUCGUGGCAAAGAAUGGAAAAAACAAGAUUUAACGUUUUUAGGAACACAGCCCUACUGACGGUAAGAAACGUCAUGUUGUCAUCCAGUCACAUUUAUCCACAUCUUCCAAGCUACAGCACACUACUUUACAUACAGCAGGUUUAUCAAGGACCAGUGAUUGGUUAAUCACCUAGUUGAUCGGUUAACUGAUUGGUUGAUCAUUAAAAGUAGAUCGCUGCUCCAGCAGGUCAUUGUCGAGGAUAAACACCGUUGUGGUCCUUUUUGGCAACUAGAUGACAGGUGUUAACUCCAGCUAACUAGACACCUCGGCUCACGUCUCAACACGCACACGUCCAUCCUCUCCGCAGUAGCAUGCUCACAGUGGGUAAUCAGGCCUACAUGAACCCUGCUUGGUUGAGAUUGGCAGGGAGCAUGGAUAGUUGGAUACAGAAGCACUUUUUAUUUUAUAUUUUGCUAUGCUCUCUCUGACUUUUUUCCCCACUGACCCCUGUGUGA
This is a long non-coding RNA of Salvelinus fontinalis (brook trout), 5491 nucleotides long. RefSeq lists it as uncharacterized. The record is from RefSeq and is a predicted model, not a curated record. The transcript is spliced from 3 exons. Lineage: Eukaryota; Metazoa; Chordata; Actinopteri; Salmoniformes; Salmonidae.